RNAcentral lists this ribosomal RNA (482 nucleotides) under uncultured bacterium. RNAcentral's name for it is "partial 16S ribosomal RNA". It matches the Rfam family "Bacterial small subunit ribosomal RNA", at positions 30 to 507 of the family's 1533-position model. The record is from RNAcentral.
AUUGAACGCUGGCGGCAUGAUUUACACAUGCAAGUCGAACGGUAACAGGCCGCAGGGUGCUGACGAGUGGCGAACGGGUGAGUAAUGCAUCGGAACGUGCCCAGUCGUUGGGGGUAACUACUCGAAAGAUUAGCUAAUACCGCAUACGAUCUAUGGAUGAAAGCGGGGGACCGUAAGGCCUCGCGCGAUUGGAUCGGCCCAUGUCAGAUUAGGUAGUUGGUGGGGUAAAGGCUCACCAAGCCAACGAUCUGUAGCCGGUCUGAGAGGUCGACCAGCCACACGGGGACUGAGACACGGCCCAGACUCCUACGGGCGGCAGCAGUGGGGAAUGUUGGACAAUGGGGGCAAGCCUGAUCCAGCAAUGCCGCGUGCAGGAAGAAGGCCUUCGGGUUGUAAACUGCUUUUGUACGGAACGAAACGGCUCUGGUUAAUACCCGGGGUUAAUGACGGUACCGUAAGAAUAAGCACCGGCUAACUACGUG